UGGCGCACGGGUGCGUAACACGUAUGGAACCUACCUUAUAGACGGGGAUAGCCUUUGGAAACGGAGAUUAAUACCCGAUGGUAAUAUGAGAUGGCAUCAUUUUAUAUUUAAAGAUUUAUCGCUAUAAGUUGGUCAUGCGUCCAAUUAGUUAGUUGGUGAGGUAACGGCUCACCAAGACGAUGAUUGGUAGGGGAACUGAGAGGUUAAUCCCCCACACUGGCACUGAGAUACGGGCCAGACUCCUACGGGAGGCAGCAGUAGGGAAUAUUGGGCAAUGGAGGCAACUCUGACCCAGCCAUGCCGCGUGCAGGAUGAAGGCGUUAUGCGUUGUAAACUGCUUUUAUAUAGGAAGAAAUAGACCUUGCGAGGUAAGUUGACGGUACUAUAUGAAUAAGCACCGGCUAACUCCGUGCCAGCAGCCGCGGUAAUACGGAGGGUGCAAGCGUUAUCCGGAAUCAUUGGGUUUAAAGGGUCCGUAGGCGGUCAGGUAAGUCAGUGGUGAAAGCCCAUCGCUCAACGGUGGAACGGCCAUUGAUAC
RNAcentral lists this ribosomal RNA (538 nucleotides) under uncultured Arcicella sp. RNAcentral describes it as "bacterial SSU rRNA". It matches the Rfam family "Bacterial small subunit ribosomal RNA", at positions 96 to 633 of the family's 1533-position model. The record is from RNAcentral. Lineage: Bacteria; Pseudomonadati; Bacteroidota; Cytophagia; Cytophagales; Flectobacillaceae.